CCCGCUGAACUUAAGCAUAUCAAUAAGCGGAGGAAAAGAAACCAACAGGGAUUGCCCCAGUAACGGCGAGUGAAGCGGCAACAGCUCAAAUUUGAAAUCUGGCCUCGGCCCGAGUUGUAAUUUGUAGAGGAAGCUUCUGGUGCGGCGCCGUCCGAGUCUCCUGGAACGGAGCGCCAUAGAGGGUGAGAGCCCCGUAUGGACGGAUGCCAAACCUGUGUGAAGCUCCUUCGACGAGUCGAGUAGUUUGGGAAUGCUGCUCUAAAUGGGAGGUAAAUUCCUUCUAAAGCUAAAUAUUGGCCAGAGACCGAUAGCGCACAAGUAGAGUGAUCGAAAGAUGAAAAGCACUUUGAAAAGAGGGUUAAACAGCACGUGAAAUUGUUGAAAGGGAAGCGCUUGUGACCAGACUUGAGCGCGGCGGAUCAUCCGGUGUUCUCACCGGUGCACUCCGCCGCGCCCAGGCCAGCAUCGGUUUCCGCGGGGGGACAAAGGUCCCGGGAACGUAGCUCCUCCGGGAGUGUUAUAGCCCGGGGCGUAAUGCCCUCGUGGGGACCGAGGACCGCGCAUCUGCAAGGAUGCUGGCGUAAUGGUCAUCAGCGACCCGUCUUGAAACACGGACCAAGGAGUCAAGGUUUUGCGCGAGUGUUUGGGUGUUAAACCCGCACGCGUAAUGAAAGUGAACGUAGGUGAGAGCUUCGGCGCAUCAUCGACCGAUCCUGAUGUAUUCGGAUGGAUUUGAGUAGGAGCGUUAAGCCUUGGACCCGAAAGAUGGUGAACUAUGCUUGGAUAGGGUGAAGCCAGAGGAAACUCUGGUGGAGGCUCGCAGCGGUUCUGACGUGCAAAUCGAUCGUCAAAUCUGAGCAUGGGGGCGAAAGACUAAUCGAACCAUCUAGUAGCUGGUUACCGCCGAAGUU
Molecule: ribosomal RNA, 911 nt
Filed under: Podospora tetraspora
Lineage: Eukaryota; Fungi; Ascomycota; Sordariomycetes; Sordariales; Podosporaceae
Description: LSU rRNA
Rfam family: Eukaryotic large subunit ribosomal RNA
Source: RNAcentral